This 253-nucleotide ribosomal RNA is filed under the name uncultured bacterium. Its description in RNAcentral is "partial 16S ribosomal RNA". It matches the Rfam family "Bacterial small subunit ribosomal RNA", at positions 524 to 776 of the family's 1533-position model. The record is from RNAcentral.
UACGUAGGGCGCAAGCGUUGUCCGGACUUACUGGGCGUAAAGGGCUCGUAGGUGGCCAACUAAGUCAGACGUGAAAUCCCUCAGCUUAACUGGGGAACUGCGUCUGAUACUGGAUGGCUUGAGUUUGGGAGAGGGAUGCGGAAUUCCAGGUGUAGCGGUGAAAUGCGUAGAUAUCUGGAGGAACACCGGUGGCGAAGGCGGCAUCCUGGACCAACACUGACACUGAGGAGCGAAAGCCAGGGGAGCAAACGGG